GACGAACGCUGGCGGCGUGCUUAACACAUGCAAGUCGAACGGAAAGGCCCUGCUUUUGUGGGGUGCUCGAGUGGCGAACGGGUGAGUAACACGUGAGUAACCUGCCCUUGACUUUGGGAUAACUUCAGGAAACUGGGGCUAAUACCGGAUAGGAGCUCCUGCUGCAUGGUGGGGGUUGGAAAGUUUCGGCGGUUGGGGAUGGACUCGCGGCUUAUCAGCUUGUUGGUGGGGUAGUGGCUUACCAAGGCUUUGACGGGUAGCCGGCCUGAGAGGGUGACCGGCCACAUUGGGACUGAGAUACGGCCCAGACUCCUACGGGAGGCAGCAGUGGGGAAUAUUGCACAAUGGGCGGAAGCCUGAUGCAGCAACGCCGCGUGCGGGAUGACGGCCUUCGGGUUGUAAACCGCUUUCGCCUGUGACGAAGCGUGAGUGACGGUAAUGGGUAAAGAAGCACCGGCUAACUACGUGCCAGCAGCCGCGGUGAUACGUAGGGUGCGAGCGUUGUCCGGAUUUAUUGGGCGUAAAGGGCUCGUAGGUCGUUGAUCGCGUCGGAAGUGUAAUCUUGGGGCUUAACCCUGAGCGUGCUUUCGAUACGGGUUGACUUGAGGAAGGUAGGGGAGAAUGGAAUUCCUGGUGGAGCGGUGGAAUGCGCAGAUAUCAGGAGGAACACCAGUGGCGAAGGCGGUUCUCUGGGCCUUUCCUGACGCUGAGGAGCGAAAGCGUGGGGAGCGAACAGGCUUAGAUACCCUGGUAGUCCACGCUGUAAACGGUGGGUACUAGGUGUGGGGUCCAUUCCACGGGUUCCGUGCCGUAGCUAACGCUUUAAGUACCCCGCCUGGGGAGUACGGCCGCAAGGCUAAAACUCAAAGGAAUUGACGGGGCCCCGCACAAGCGGCGGAGCAUGCGGAUUAAUUCGAUGCAACGCGUAGAACCUUACCUGGGUUUGACAUGGAUCGGGAGUGCUCAGAGAUGGGUGUGCCUCUUUUUGGGGUCGGUUCACAGGUGGUGCAUGGCUGUCGUCAGCUCGUGUCGUGAGAUGUUGGGUUAAGUCCCGCAACGAGCGCAACCCUUGUUCACUGUUGCCAGCACGUUAUGGUGGGGACUCAGUGGAGACCGCCGGGGUCAACUCGGAGGAAGGUGGGGAUGACGUCAAGUCAUCAUGCCCCUUAUGUCCAGGGCUUCACGCAUGCUACAAUGGCUGGUACAGAGAGUGGCGAGCCUGUAAGGGUGAGCGAAUCUCGGAAAGCCGGUCUCAGUUCGGAUUGGGGUCUGCAACUCGACCUCAUGAAGUCGGAGUCGCUAGUAAUCGCAGAUCAGCAACGCUGCGGUGAAUACGUUCCCGGG
This 1344-nucleotide ribosomal RNA is filed under the name uncultured bacterium. Its description in RNAcentral is "16S ribosomal RNA". It matches the Rfam family "Bacterial small subunit ribosomal RNA", at positions 28 to 1378 of the family's 1533-position model. The record is from RNAcentral.